CAAGACAGUGAUGGCGUGAAUGAUGGUCAAAGUCUCUCUUCUUUUUUGGGUCACCCUGCAUUGUUGCUUUGUUUUUACUGAAUCAUCUUGUAUAUAAAAAACAUAAUUUGUUGUUUCUCAGGUGCUGUAUAAUCAGUAUGAGUUUAGAGCUUCCCAACGACUCUGAAGGUUCUUAUCAACUUAUAGUGGGGUUAUGUUCCCACAAAACCAUCGAAAAUGAUAUGAUAAACAACAUCGUCAAGUUGAAAUAUCCUGAGUCGAAUCAUUGUGUCUGUAUUAAAAAGACUGCCACACAGUUCUGAAUGGCAGAUGACCAAUUGCUGGAUAAUCAAUGAUGUAUUUAUUUAGCCACACAGUUGUGUGCAUGAUAAUGUGUAUUAAUAAUGUUUAUAAAUGUGUAGGAUGAGG
This is a non-coding RNA of Cherax quadricarinatus, 408 nucleotides long. The record is from RefSeq and is a predicted model, not a curated record. Lineage: Eukaryota; Metazoa; Arthropoda; Malacostraca; Decapoda; Parastacidae.